Nicotiana attenuata is the source of this 191-nucleotide non-coding RNA. NCBI's taxonomy places the organism in Eukaryota, Viridiplantae, Streptophyta, Magnoliopsida, Solanales, Solanaceae. The record is from Rfam.
UUCCCUUUCUUCGCCUUUUUGCUAAGAUCAAGUGUAGUAUUUGUCCUUAUCAGUUUAAUAUCCAUGGGAUGUUGUGUCACGUGAUAUUCACUCAUAUAAUGGGAAAAACAAGCUUUAAAUUUUUUAAUUGAGCAGCAAAGAGAUGCUCCCGAAUACCUGCUUUAUCAGCAAAAUAGAAAUGUUAACCAUUC